This 781-nucleotide ribosomal RNA is filed under the name uncultured bacterium. Its description in RNAcentral is "bacterial SSU rRNA". It matches the Rfam family "Bacterial small subunit ribosomal RNA", at positions 715 to 1504 of the family's 1533-position model. The record is from RNAcentral.
GCGAAGGCAGAUUACUAACAAUACACUGACGCUGAGGGACGAAAGCGUGGGUAGCGAACAGGAUUAGAUACCCUGGUAGUCCACGCCGUAAACGAUGGUCACUAGCUGUUUGACUAACAUUGGUUAGUUGAGUGGCUAAGCGAAAGUGAUAAGUGACCCACCUGGGGAGUACGGUCGCAAGACUGAAACUCAAAGGAAUUGACGGGGGCCCGCACAAGCGGUGGAGCAUGUGGUUUAAUUCGAUGAUACGCGAGGAACCUUACCAGGGCUUAAAUGUAAGUUGCAUGGAUCAGAGAUGGUCCUUUCUUCGGACUACUUACAAGGUGCUGCAUGGUUGUCGUCAGCUCGUGCCGUGAGGUGUCAGGUUAAGUCCUAUAACGAGCGCAACCCCUAUCGUUAGUUGCCAGCGGGUAAUGCCGGGUACUCUAACGAGACUGCCAGUGCAAACUGUGAGGAAGGUGGGGAUGACGUCAAAUCAUCACGGCCCUUACGUCCUGGGCUACACACGUGCUACAAUGGCCGGUACAGAGAGCAGCCACUCCGCGAGGAGGAGCGAAUCUUCAAAGCCGGUCUCAGUUCGGAUCGCAGUCUGCAACUCGACUGCGUGAAGCUGGAAUCGCUAGUAAUCGGAUAUCAGCCAUGAUCCGGUGAAUACGUUCCCGGGCCUUGUACACACCGCCCGUCAAGCCAUGGAAUCUGGGAGUACCAGAAGUCGGUGACCGCAAGGAGCCGCCUAGGGUAAAACUGGUAACUAGGGCUAAGUCGUAACAAGGUAACCGUA